CACGUAGGGGGCAAGCGUUGUCCGGAUUUAUUGGGCGUAAAGAGCUCGUAGGUGGUUCGGUAAGUCAGGUGUGAAACCUCCAGGCUCAACCUGGAGACGCCACUUGAUACUGCUGUGACUGGAGUCCGGUAGGGGAGCGUGGAAUUCCUGGUGUAGCGGUGAAAUGCGCAGAUAUCAGGAGGAACACCAGCGGCGAAGGCGGCGCUCUGGGCCGGUACUGACACUGAGGAGCGAAAGCGUGGGUAGCAAACGGG
Molecule: ribosomal RNA, 254 nt
Filed under: uncultured bacterium
Lineage: Bacteria
Description: partial 16S ribosomal RNA
Rfam family: Bacterial small subunit ribosomal RNA
Source: RNAcentral